This 225-nucleotide ribosomal RNA is filed under the name Triticum aestivum (bread wheat). RNAcentral's name for it is "partial small subunit ribosomal RNA". The record is from RNAcentral. Lineage: Eukaryota; Viridiplantae; Streptophyta; Magnoliopsida; Poales; Poaceae.
CUUCUGGAGUUGUACUGUAAUUCUUCGGGACAGCGUAUCAACCAUGACAAGUUGUCCAUAUUUUUCAGUAAAGGUUGCCCGCAACAGUUGAGAGAUAGUAUCAAAGCAAUUCUACAAGUCCAAAAUGAAUCAUUGAAUGAGCGCUAUUUGGGCAUGCCAACUGAUGUGGGGCAAUCAAAGAUGAGAACGUUCAAAUAUCUCAGAGAUAGAGUUUGGGAAAAGGUG